UUGUCUCAAAGAUUAAGCCAUGCAUGUCUCAGUACAAGCCAAAUUAAGGUGAAACCGCGAAAGGCUCAUUAAAUCAGUUAUGGUUCCUUAGAUCGUACGCACAGUUACUUGGAUAACUGUGGUAAUUCUAGAGCUAAUACAUGCAGAUAGAGUUCCACCCGGAGACGGGAGGAAUGCUUUUAUUAGAACAAAACCAAUCGGCGUCGGUCGCGUUCGCGCGUCCGUCCGCCGCUCAAUUUGGUGACUCUGAAUAACUUUACGCUGAUCGCACGGUCUCGCACCGGCGACGCAUCUUUCAAAUGUCUGCCUUAUCAACUGUCGAUGGUAGGUUCUGCGCCUACCAUGGUCAUAACGGGUAACGGGGAAUCAGGGUUCGAUUCCGGAGAGGGAGCCUGAGAAACGGCUACCACAUCCAAGGAAGGCAGCAGGCGCGCAAAUUACCCACUCCCGGCACGGGGAGGUAGUGACGAAAAAUAACGAUACGGGACUCAUCCGAGGCCCCGUAAUCGGAAUGAGUACACUUUAAAUCCUUUAACGAGGAUCAAUUGGAGGGCAAGUCUGGUGCCAGCAGCCGCGGUAAUUCCAGCUCCAAUAGCGUAUAUU
Molecule: ribosomal RNA, 603 nt
Filed under: Hygrobia maculata
Lineage: Eukaryota; Metazoa; Arthropoda; Insecta; Coleoptera; Hygrobiidae
Description: SSU rRNA
Rfam family: Eukaryotic small subunit ribosomal RNA
Source: RNAcentral